CCUACGGGAGGCAGCAGUGGGGAAUAUUGCACAAUGGGGGAAACCCUGAUGCAGCGACGCCGCGUGAGCGAUGAAGUAUUUCGGUAUGUAAAGCUCUAUCAGCAGGGAAGAAAAUGACGGUACCUGACUAAGAAGCCCCGGCUAACUACGUGCCAGCAGCCGCGGGAAGACGUAGGGGGCAAGCGUUAUCCGGAUUUACUGGGUGUAAAGGGAGCGUAGACGGUCGGGCAAGUCGGAUGUGAAAGCCCGGGGCUCAACCGCGGGACUGCAUUUGGAACUGGAAGGCUAGAGUGUGGGAGAGGAAAGCGGAAUUCCGAGUGUAGCGGUGAAAUGCGUAGAUAUUAGGAGGAACACCAGUGGCGAAGGCGGCUUGCUGGACGAUGACUGACGUUGAGGCUCGAAAGCGUGGGGAGCAAACAGGAUUAGAUACCCUUGUAGUC
This 440-nucleotide ribosomal RNA is filed under the name uncultured bacterium. Its description in RNAcentral is "partial 16S ribosomal RNA". It matches the Rfam family "Bacterial small subunit ribosomal RNA", at positions 338 to 795 of the family's 1533-position model. The record is from RNAcentral.